Molecule: non-coding RNA, 667 nt
Organism: Cyanistes caeruleus (blue tit)
Lineage: Eukaryota; Metazoa; Chordata; Aves; Passeriformes; Paridae
Source: RefSeq, a predicted model, not a curated record
UUGCUCUGCUGUUGCUGUUGGAUCUGUGCUCCUUGAUGUGCUCACAGAGCUCCUUCCAGUUGAUGCUCCAUGUUGUGACACGUCAUGUAAAACUGCAUCUGUUAUGCUGAAACCAGAACAUAAGAGAGACACUCUUGACAUGAGGAAUCACAACACGAGGGAACAGCAGGAACGCUGAAAGCGCAGCGCGGUUCCUUCCUCCGCGAGCCCAGCCCUGGGAGAGACGAGGUGUUUAUUAACAGAGCUUCCACUCCAUCCACAUUUCCUCCCUGAUGACUUCUCCCCUCCCUCCAGGCCCAACCCAGCCCUUUCCACAGGGGAAAAACUCAUGGGAACUCAGACAUGCUCCAUCCAAGAGAAGUUUUCCCCCCAGUGGAUACCCCAGGAUCAGGCCUGGGAGGUUUUCCCGCCUGUGAAGUAGAAAAUAGACUCAGAUUAAGCGAGCAGACUUGUUAUUUGACAGUUUAUAAAAUAUUUUAGUAUCUUUUUGGCAGUAGCAGUUUGAAUGUUGGCAAAUGUACACAUUGCUUGCAGUUACAAAACCUUGUAAUGAGUAUUUCCCACUGUAAUAGCAGUGAGCUGAAAUUUGGAUAAACCACUUAGACUUGUGAACUCUGACAUGCCUGGUAACUAUGUCUUUGCAAAAAGAAUUUUGUCAAGUAUUGGA